This 862-nucleotide ribosomal RNA is filed under the name Epicoccum latusicollum. RNAcentral's name for it is "partial large subunit ribosomal RNA". It matches the Rfam family "Eukaryotic large subunit ribosomal RNA", at positions 58 to 939 of the family's 3401-position model. Lineage: Eukaryota; Fungi; Ascomycota; Dothideomycetes; Pleosporales; Didymellaceae. The record is from RNAcentral.
AAAGAACCAACAGGGAUUGCCCUAGUAACGGCGAGUGAAGCGGCAACAGCUCAAAUUUGAAAUCUGGCGUCUUUGGCGUCCGAGUUGUAAUUUGCAGAGGGCGCUUUGGCAUUGGCAGCGGUCCAAGUUCCUUGGAACAGGACGUCACAGAGGGUGAGAAUCCCGUACGUGGUCGCUAGCCUCUACCGUGUAAAGCCCCUUCGACGAGUCGAGUUGUUUGGGAAUGCAGCUCUAAAUGGGAGGUAAAUUUCUUCUAAAGCUAAAUACUGGCCAGAGACCGAUAGCGCACAAGUAGAGUGAUCGAAAGAUGAAAAGCACUUUGGAAAGAGAGUUAAAAAGCACGUGAAAUUGUUGAAAGGGAAGCGCUUGCAGCCAGACUUGCCUGUAGUUGCUCAUCCGGGUUUUUACCCGGUGCACUCUUCUACGGGCAGGCCAGCAUCAGUUUGGGCGGUUGGAUAAAGGUCUCUGUCAUGUACCUCCUCUCGGGGAGAACUUAUAGGGGAGACGACAUGCAACCAGCCCGGACUGAGGUCCGCGCAUCUGCUAGGAUGCUGGCGUAAUGGCUGUAAGCGGCCCGUCUUGAAACACGGACCAAGGAGUCUAACAUCUAUGCGAGUGUUUGGGUGUCAAGCCCGAGCGCGUAAUGAAAGUGAACGGAGGUGGGAACCUUUCGGGGUGCACCAUCGACCGAUCCUGAUGUCUUCGGAUGGAUUUGAGUAAGAGCAUAGCUGUUGGGACCCGAAAGAUGGUGAACUAUGCUUGAAUAGGGUGAAGCCAGAGGAAACUCUGGUGGAGGCUCGCAGCGGUUCUGACGUGCAAAUCGAUCGUCAAAUUUGGGCAUAGGGGCGAAAGACUAAUCGAA